Molecule: long non-coding RNA, 514 nt
Filed under: Setaria italica (foxtail millet)
Lineage: Eukaryota; Viridiplantae; Streptophyta; Magnoliopsida; Poales; Poaceae
Description: long non-coding RNA (SITA_LNC000195)
Source: RNAcentral
AGAAGAAGAGUUUGAAAAUUUUACGACGCGGGCCAUUAACCGGGCGUACGCACACACAUGGUGUUACAACAUACUUAUGCGACUAGCCGACUAUACGGCAAAAGAAAACAAGCUGAGCUAAUGACUAGCCUAUCUGCUCCCAGUUGCUGAUGCCGUUGGCCAGCCAACGGUGACCAGGUGCGUUGCCCCAGCCUGCAUCCAUAGUUGGCCUUCCUCCAUGAUCGGGGCUACAACCUGAGCUGCAGAAUUCUCCGGCUGGCUGGUGAAAACUCUGCCAUUCCUCUCCUUCCAGAGAGAUUUUUGGGAACUGGAAGCAUAACCCCGUCAUUUCAAUUUUCAACAGAUAAGGUCACUGCAAAAGAGAACCAUUCCUGAUCCAGCCGUCUUCUGGAACGUUGACUUUGGUGUUCGGAUUCGUCCCUUUCAGUUUAAUUUAUUUAUAAUCAACUGCGUUGAGAAUUCGGAGAUGUUUGCAACAUAUGAAUUUUCUUGGUCGAAAACUUUGAAGCUGGCC